This is a non-coding RNA of Pimephales promelas (fathead minnow), 1401 nucleotides long. Lineage: Eukaryota; Metazoa; Chordata; Actinopteri; Cypriniformes; Leuciscidae. The record is from RefSeq and is a predicted model, not a curated record.
GUUAGUAAAUACAUAAUGUUAACUAAUGAACCUUAUUGUAAAGUGUUACCGAAAAUACAUUUUAAAAUUUCCACCACACUCUCAAGCAACUUUCAGAGCAAACCCACACGUGUGCACUUUGCUCUCCCUGAGCUACAGCUCAGUACAUGACGUCCAUAUAAAGCUCAAAGACUCUCUCUUCAGAACAACUGUGUGACGAGUUCUCGCUGUCUAAAAGAUUCGUAAGUUGGUUUUCUGUCAAGGUCAGUAGACAUUUAUUAAAUAGUGUAAAUGUUAACAGUAUUAACAUACUAUUUUAUGCCUCUCUGUUCUAGGUGACAAAAUGGCAGGUAACAUUUCUAAAAUAUCAUGCACUUGCAAACUCUCAAGUUUCUGUAAUUCAAAUAUUACAGUUACAAUUAAUCUCCAUAAAUUACAUUUAAACGUAAAGCAUUAAAAAUCCAUAAUUUAAUAACAAUAAAUAUAUUAUGAACUUAGUUCCUGAUAUGCAACAAUCCAUCCAAGAAACAGAAACAGAACAAUUUGCAAAUGCCAGCAUUCUAUAUUUCUAUUAUUAUUUGCUAAAUAUCUGACUGAUAAUUAGGCCCAUCAUACAUUUAUUCUCAUGGAUUCCAAAAACAACAUGAUUUUUAAUUUAUAUAUUUUGGGCUAUUCAGAAUGUACAACACUUUUCGAAGUGGUGUUUGUCUGCAAUAUUCUGAUUUUGAUCUUCAGUGGAGUAGUGAACAUUCUUCUAUGCGAACGGCUGAGGAGAAGAAAAUGUGAACUGUGUGCUGCACAUCAGAGAAGCUUUCAUUCUCUGGCUGUCCCUCCUCAACCAAACUCACCAGCGUCUGAUACCAGUAGUCAUCUUGAUCAAGAGAGUACGGAGCUUGACUACUCAAUGCUACAGUUCCCCGAAGACAACACAAGAACAGAGAACUCAGAGAAUGAGCAGAGAGAGAAGAGCGGAAAGGACACGGUCUAUUCCAGCCUUAAAUGUCAAAUCUCAAACAUCACUGAGGAAAAUUAAUAUUUUCAGCUCCACAGCACAAAUUUCUGGCAGUUCCCCCUCAGAGCACAGAGAUACUUUAUAUUGAAGAUCAUCACCACUGACCCAGAACCAAUGACCAGCCAUAAAGUGCAGGCCAGUCCACACAUAAGCUGUCUGAGAUGUUAUAGUGUUGUUAUUUAUCACCUCUGUUACAAUGAUCGUGGAGUUUAGACUCACCACAUCAGUGUGUGUGUUGUCUGCAAUAGUCCAGGGCAGCAGCACAAGCUGUAAUGCAAUGUAUGGAUGUAAAUACAAUGGCAGCUGUCUGUAUGGGCAGGUGGGGCUCUAAACAAAAUACCUCUACAUAAACUGUAUCAGUAAUAAAUUGUAAAUAUUUUCAGUUUUCUAUAAUAAAUAUUUCAGAAUUG